RNAcentral lists this ribosomal RNA (421 nucleotides) under uncultured bacterium. RNAcentral's name for it is "partial 16S ribosomal RNA". It matches the Rfam family "Bacterial small subunit ribosomal RNA", at positions 360 to 773 of the family's 1533-position model. The record is from RNAcentral.
AAUAUUGGACAAUGGGGGCAACCCUGAUCCAGCCAUGCCGCGUGUGUGAAGAAGGUCUUUGGAUUAUAAAUCACUUUAAUUUGGGAGGAAGGGCACUAGGCUAAUACCCUGAAGUUUUGACGUUACCAACAGAAUAAGCACCGGUUAACUCUGUGCCAGCAGCCGCAGUAAUACAGAGGGUGCAAGCGUUAGUCGGAAUUACUGGGCGUAAAGCGCGCGUAGGUGGUUCAGUAAGAUGGGUGUGAAAUCCCCGGGCUUAACCUGGGAACUGCUUUCAUAACUGCUGAGCUAGAGUACGGUAGAGGGUAGUGGAAUUUCCUGUGUAGCGGUGAAAUGCGUAGAUAUAGGAAGGAACACCAGUGGAGAAGGCGACUACCUGGACUGAUACUGACACUGAGGUGCGAAAGCGUGGGGAGCAAAC